AUACGGAGGAUGCGAGCGUUAUCCGGAUUUAUUGGGUUUAAAGGGUGCGUAGGCUGUGCGUUAAGUCAGGGGUGAAAUGCCGUCGCUCAACGGCGGAGCUGCCCUUGAUACUGGCGUGCUGGAGUACGGAUGCCGUUGGAGGAAUGAGUGGUGUAGCGGUGAAAUGCUUAGAUAUCACUCAGAACACCGAUUGCGAAGGCAUCUGACGAAUCCGUCACUGACGCUGAGGCACGAAAGCGUGGGGAUAGAACAGGAUUAGAUACCCUGGUAUUCCACGCCGUAAACGAUGAUGACUAACCGUCGGCGAUAGACAGCCGGUGGCCAAGCGAAAGCGAUAAGUCAUCCACCUGGGGAGUACGUCGGCAACGAUGAAACUCAAAGGAAUUGGCGGGG
Molecule: ribosomal RNA, 393 nt
Filed under: uncultured bacterium
Lineage: Bacteria
Description: partial 16S ribosomal RNA
Rfam family: Bacterial small subunit ribosomal RNA
Source: RNAcentral